AAUGGAGUGCCUGAAAAAAGGAUAAUUUUGAUAGAAUUAAUUAUGUGAGUCGGCCCCACCUCCAUUU
RNAcentral lists this transfer RNA (67 nucleotides) under Olenecamptus bilobus. Its description in RNAcentral is "tRNA-Ile". Lineage: Eukaryota; Metazoa; Arthropoda; Insecta; Coleoptera; Cerambycidae. The record is from RNAcentral.